GUGGGGAAUAUUGGACAAUGGGCGAAAGCCUGAUCCAGCCAUGCCGCAUGUGUGAAGAAGGUCUUCGGAUUGUAAAGCACUUUAAGUUGGGAGGAAGGGCAGUAAGUUAAUACCUUGCUGUUUUGACGUUACCGACAGAAUAAGCACCGGCUAACUUCGUGCCAGCAGCCGCGGUAAUACGCAGGGUGCAAGCGUUAAUCGGAAUUACUGGGCGUAAAGCGCGCGUAGGUGGUUUUGUAAGUUGGAGGUGAAAUCCCCGGGCUCAACCUGGGAACUGCCUCCAAAACUGCAUGACUAGAGUACGGUAGAGGGUAGUGGAAUUUCCUGUGUAGCGGUGAAAUGCGUAGAUAUAGGAAGGAACACCAGUGGCGAAGGCGACUACCUGGACUGAUACUGACACUGAGGUGCGAAAGCGUGGGGAGCAAACAGGAUUAGAUACCCUCGUAGUCC
RNAcentral lists this ribosomal RNA (450 nucleotides) under uncultured bacterium. RNAcentral describes it as "bacterial SSU rRNA". It matches the Rfam family "Bacterial small subunit ribosomal RNA", at positions 354 to 796 of the family's 1533-position model. The record is from RNAcentral.